UAUGGGACCAGGUUAGUCUGGAACUCAGUCACAUCCACAUUCAGGGCUCCAUCAAACCUCAAAGAUGCGGUAAGAGAUGAGAUAACCUGAAUCAUACAUGCCAAAACACCACAUGUAUGAAUAACAAUCAUUAAACUUCAUAACAUAAAGACGAGUAUUUUAGUAAAAAUGCUUAUAGUUACCUGAGAGACAAGGCGGUUAAGAUUCGUAUAAGUGGGUCGUUCAAUGUCCAAAGAACGCCUGCAGAUGUCAUAUAUUGCUUCGUUAUCGAGAAGAACAGCGACAUCAGUGUGCUCAAGGAGUGAAUGAGUGGACAGCACACUGUUGUAAGGCUCUACAACUGAUGUAGAAACCUGAGGUGAAGGAUAGACGGUGAAACCAAGCUUCGACUUCUUUCCAUAGUCAACAGAGAGACGCUCCAAGAGAAGAGAUCCAAGACCAGAACCAGUACCACCACCAACAGCAUUGAAAACCAAGAAGCCUUGGAGCCCAGUACAGUUAUCAGCAAGCUUUCGGAUACGAUCCAAGCAGAGAUCAACAAUCUCUUUGCCAAUUGUAUAAUGGCCACGAGCGAAAUUGUUGGCAGC
Molecule: long non-coding RNA, 587 nt
Filed under: Gossypium raimondii (Peruvian cotton)
Lineage: Eukaryota; Viridiplantae; Streptophyta; Magnoliopsida; Malvales; Malvaceae
Description: long non-coding RNA (GRAI_LNC007067)
Source: RNAcentral